Molecule: long non-coding RNA, 899 nt
Organism: Camponotus floridanus (Florida carpenter ant)
Lineage: Eukaryota; Metazoa; Arthropoda; Insecta; Hymenoptera; Formicidae
Exons: 3
Source: RefSeq, a predicted model, not a curated record
UAAAUCCAAACAAUUAGUAAAAUUAUUAUCAAUCUCCAAUUUCGUAAACUUUUUCAUUCCACAAUAAAUUCCUACUGAUUCUUUUUAAUCCACCGACUUUUUACAGGCAGUCCUUAAUGAUAUAGUGUGUGUACCUAUACAUAUAUAAUACACAUGCAUUUAUGGAAUGCGUGAGAGUAGGCCCACAGCUGUCGACUCGUGUGGCUGCGGUCGCCAGCGUGUGUCAAAUACUACAGGCAUUAAGAAAGUCGAAGCGUAAGGGGCGGGAAGUAUUUAAGAGAGGAAUUGGGGGAGCCGCAGGCCUAAGGGGCAUAGGUAGUGUGGCCCAAAGGCCCGUUGCGCGGGCGAGGUAAGAGGAAAGGUAGAGGAGGAGGAGAAGCAGCUGCCAAGCGGCAAAACGAGAAACAGGAACCUAGCAGCUGGCCGCCCCGUGCAAAGCGCAGGUGCACCGACCACGCAUCCAUCCCCCUUUCUUCUUCCUGCCGUAAAUACUAAGUGGUAGCGGCAGCCGUUAUCUACACAGACGCGUUGUCGGCGCGCGAGCAAGCACAUGCCGGACCCUUCAGCCCUUCGAUGUGUAUGCCCUCACCACGAAAUUAAUCUCAAGACCUUGUAUGCGAAAAAAAAUUAGCUAUAGCUAUUGAGUGGCACGCGCGCAUCUAGGAGUCCCGACAGAAUUACCGAUGGCGAAAGACAUAUAUGUAUUGUAUAGGAAACCACUUACCUGAGUACUGACAUCCGCACAGGAGCUAGACAAGAAAUUGGCGUGUUUCUUGCUCGUAGCAAUGUCAAGCCUGAUGACACCAAGAUCAGCCUCGAUCUUGGUGAUCCUGCUACCGAGAUCACGUACAUUCCUGCCGACUUCGGCGACGUCACCCCUUAACAGGGCUAAUUCGCUC